This is an RNA transcript of Vitis riparia (riverbank grape), 1624 nucleotides long. RefSeq lists it as uncharacterized. The record is from RefSeq and is a predicted model, not a curated record. NCBI's taxonomy places the organism in Eukaryota, Viridiplantae, Streptophyta, Magnoliopsida, Vitales, Vitaceae. The transcript is spliced from 6 exons.
GGGUGCUCUGCCUCAAAUUAAAGAUGGGCGUUGGAAUUCUUCAACUCAAUUCAAAAAGCACUAUGAAUGCAGCACUGUGUAAUAUAUACCCUAUCUUCAAAUUCUCCGAGACUCACUCCCAACCGUCUCGCUGCCCUAGUUCCUGGAUCGCUGGCAGAAGCUCUAACCGGCUGCCAACUCCUCGAUCUCUGGUAAUUGAAACUGUGGAAGACCAAGUUGAUGAGGAAACGCGGUCGGAGUCAGUUGCUCGUCGCCUCAUUCUGCUUCGGCACGCGAAGAGUUCCUGGACGGAUCGUUCGCUGCGAGAUCAUGAUCGACCUCUGAGUAAAGCUGGACGAGCUGAUGCCAUCAAUAUUUCUCACAAGCUCCAACAGUUGGGUUGGAUCCCGGAACUCAUCCUAUGCAGCGAUGCGAUGCGAACAAGGGAGACACUUAAAAUUAUGCAGGAGCAAGUGAGAGGCUUUUCAGAAGCUGAGGUACAUUUUAUUUCAAGCUUUUAUUCCAUUGCAGCAAUGGAUGGACAGACUGCUGAGCACCUUCAACAGGCUAUCUGUAAAUUUUCACGGGAUGAGAUUCUGACAGUUAUGUGUAUGGGACAUAAUAGAGGAUGGGAAGAGGCUGCCUCAAUGUUCUCAGGUGCUUCCAUAGAACUGAAGACAUGUAAUGCUGCUUUGCUUGAAGCCACUGGAAAAUCAUGGGAAGAGGAUAGGGCCUGAAAUUGAACUUUCAUCGUUCCUCCUGCAAUCAGAAAACAAUAAAAUGGAAGUCUAUAGUUGGAAAUGAAGUAGAAUGGAAGUAUGAGAUAAAGAAUUUGGUUGCUAUAGGAAUGAAUUUUUAGGUGAUACAGCCUACAGGAAGCAACCUCAUGUGACAGAUUUCUACUUAUCAAAAAAAAAAAAAAGAACUUGUGACCAGAUUUCUGAAUCUAACUUAUAGGAGGCAUUUAAUUUGGCAGGACUUGGUGGGUGGAAGCUUCAUGGCAUUGUGAAACCGAAUACUAGCCAGUAACAUUGCAUUAAGUUUUGGAUGCUAACCAAAAACAAGCAGCUCUUGUUUUUGGUUGCGAUGUACGUUUGGCUCUGCUACUUGCUACUUGCUGACUUGUCCUUCUUUCCCCAUCUUCCCAAAAACCUUGUCUAGGUAACAUUAGAAAAGAAAAGAUCAUUUUCACAGUCCAAGCAUUCCCUGAAUAGGGGAAUGGAAGCGUGAUGGUUGGAUAACUAUCAAUUCACCUCUGUCGGUAGCAUUUUUCUGUUGCAAACUAGAGAUAUUAGUCAGGGCUUUGUGAGGUUGGCAUGCUAGGGUUGAGGGGUUGUAUCUUGGUAUGCUUUGCACUGGAUGAGUUUCAUCAUUUUUCAAUUAACAGAGGACAUUCCUGGUUUAGCCAUCAUCUGAAGAAUGAUGCAAGAUUGUGUCAAAAUUUGUUCUGCCUGUGGAAGAGAUCAUUACCUGAAAUUAUGCUCUUUGGGUAGGAUUGCUGAUUUGUUACAGUUGUUGACUAUAUCCAUGGGAUUGGUGAACCAAUAAUGCCUUCAGUGUAAAAAUGUAAUCUCAUUUCUCACCGGAGUCCUAUGUAAAUAUCAUACUUCAUAUGGAAAGAGGACAAUUUUCAUUUGAUCUGUCA